AUGUCAGUUGGACACGCGCUCGGAAAUCCUAUCUACACCUCUCGCGCGGGUGACGGGUGUUAUUUGGCCCGACACUCUGCUCUCUCCCUCCAUCCAACCUUAUCUUCUCAGUCGGCUGCCCUCAACCUUGUCUUCCCCGGUCGCCCCCCACGCGUUCUUCUCCACAUACAUGCGCAGAACUCCCACAACGCCCACCCAUCCCCUCCCUCCUUCCCAGCUCUGGAUCCAGAUGGAAUCGAGGCCACAACCGAGCGUCUCCUCAUGGCCUCUUCACGAGCUCCCACUGCCGCCUGGAGCUCAAGCUGCCAGCCGUCCAAGGCCUCGCCAGGAACGGAUCCGCGACACCGUGCCUCGUCCUCGCACAUGCCCGGCCGCGCCAUCGGAGCCCCCCGCAGAGGCAGUGCUCCGCCACCCGAUGCUGUUCUUCGUGUCGCCCCACGCUCCCAAAGCUGGGAACCGGCUCCCCGCCUCCAAGUUCUCGGCAUCGACGUCCCGUGCUGCCUGCACCCUCGCCAAGCCCGACUCGCAGCCGUGGAGCCCGAGCUCGCCAAGGCGCUUCAACUCCGCUGCCGCGCCAUACCUCUCUCUGUCGCUCCGUCCGCCGCCCGUGGUGCCGUGACCCGCCACUGCCGUGCCCUGCAUCGCUCUGUAGCCGCGCCGCCUGGGUCGAUGCGGUCAGCGCUCCCAAGCCGUUGA
This 696-nucleotide ribosomal RNA is filed under the name Triticum aestivum (bread wheat). RNAcentral's name for it is "partial small subunit ribosomal RNA". Lineage: Eukaryota; Viridiplantae; Streptophyta; Magnoliopsida; Poales; Poaceae. The record is from RNAcentral.